Molecule: ribosomal RNA, 520 nt
Filed under: uncultured Entrophospora
Lineage: Eukaryota; Fungi; Glomeromycota; Glomeromycetes; Entrophosporales; Entrophosporaceae
Description: SSU rRNA
Rfam family: Eukaryotic small subunit ribosomal RNA
Source: RNAcentral
AGCAGCCGCGGUAAUUCCAGCUCCAAUAGCGUAUAUUAAAGUUGUUGCAGUUAAAAAGCUCGUAGUUGAAUUUCGGGACUGGCGCAUCGGUCGUGCCUCACGGGGUAUGAACUGGUGCAGUCAAUUUCUCACCUUCUGGAGAACCGCGAUGUCCUUAAUUGGAUGCCGCGGGGAACCAGGACCUUUACUUUGAAAAAUUAGAGUGUUUAAAGCAGGCAUUUUUGCUUGAAUACAUUAGCAUGGAAUAAUAAAAUAGGACGGCAUGGUUCUAUUUUGUUGGUUUCUAGGACCACCGUAAUGAUUAAUAGGGAUAGUUGGGGGCAUUAGUAUUCAAUUGUCAGAGGUGAAAUUCUUGGAUUUAUUGAAGACUAACUACUGCGAAAGCAUUUGCCAAGGAUGUUUUCAUUAAUCAAGAACGAAAGUUAGGGGAUCGAAGACGAUCAGAUACCGUCGUAGUCUUAACCAUAAACUAUGCCGACUAGGAAUCAGACGAUGUUAAUUUUUUAAUGACUCGUUUGGC